UACAGAGGUCCCAAGCGUUGUUCGGAUUCAUUGGGCGUAAAGGGUGCGUAGGCGGCGCGGUAAGUCGGGUGUGAAAUCUCGGAGCUUAACUCCGAAACUGCAUUCGAUACUGCCGUGCUUGAGGACUGGAGAGGAGACUGGAAUUUACGGUGUAGCGGUGAAAUGCGUAGAUAUCGUAAGGAAGACCAGUGGCGAAGGCGGGUCUCUGGGCCGAUACUGACGCUGAGGAGCGAAGGCGUGGGGAGCGAACAGG
RNAcentral lists this ribosomal RNA (253 nucleotides) under uncultured bacterium. Its description in RNAcentral is "partial 16S ribosomal RNA". It matches the Rfam family "Bacterial small subunit ribosomal RNA", at positions 524 to 776 of the family's 1533-position model. The record is from RNAcentral.